UGGGGAAUUUUGGACAAUGGACGAAANUCUGAUCCAGCCAUGCCGCGUGCGGGAAGAAGGCCUUCGGGUUGUAAACCGCUUUUGUCAGGGAAGAAAAGCGCUGGGCUAAUACCCCGGCGUCAUGACGGUACCUGAAGAAUAAGCACCGGCUAACUACGUGCCAGCAGCCGCGGUAAUACGUAGGGUGCAAGCGUUAAUCGGAAUUACUGGGCGUAAAGCGUGCGCAGGCGGCUUUGCAAGACAGAUGUGAAAUCCCCGGGCUCAACCUGGGAACUGCAUUUGUGACUGCAAGGCUAGGGUACGGUAGAGGGGAGUGGAAUUCCGCGUGUAGCAGUGAAAUGCGUAGAUAUGCGGAGGAACACCGAUGGCGAAGGCAGCUCCCUGGACCUGUACUGACGCUCAUGCACGAAAGCGUGGGGAGCAAACAGGAUUAGAUACCCUGGUAGUCCACGCCCUAAACGAUGUCAACUGGUUGUUGGGAGGGUUUCUUCUCAGUAACGUAGCUAACGCGUGAAGUUGACCGCCUGGGGAGUACGGCCGCAAGGUUG
RNAcentral lists this ribosomal RNA (548 nucleotides) under uncultured bacterium. RNAcentral's name for it is "bacterial SSU rRNA". It matches the Rfam family "Bacterial small subunit ribosomal RNA", at positions 355 to 896 of the family's 1533-position model. The record is from RNAcentral.